This 406-nucleotide ribosomal RNA is filed under the name uncultured bacterium. RNAcentral describes it as "partial 16S ribosomal RNA". It matches the Rfam family "Bacterial small subunit ribosomal RNA", at positions 29 to 526 of the family's 1533-position model. The record is from RNAcentral.
AUUGAACGCUGGCGGCAGGCCUAACACAUGCACGUCGACCGAGUGGCGGACGGGUGAGGAAUGUCUGGGAAACUGCCUGAUGGAGGGGGAUAACUACUGGAAACGGUAGCUAAUACCGCAUACCAUCGGAUGUGCCCAGAUGGGACUAGCUAGUAGGUGGGGUAAAGGCUCACCUAGGCGACGCUCCCUCGCUGGUCUGAGAGGAUGACCAGCCAAACGGGAACUGAGCAACGGUCCAGACUCCUACGGGAGGCAGCAGUGGGGAAUAUUGCACAAUGGGGGCAAGCCUGAUGCAGCCAUGCCGCGUGUAUGAAGAAGGCCUUCGGGGUGUAAAGUACUUUCAGCGGGGAGGCGUUACCCGCAGAAGAAGCACCGGCUAACUCCGUGCCAGCAGCCGCGGUAAUUC